This 623-nucleotide ribosomal RNA is filed under the name uncultured bacterium. RNAcentral's name for it is "bacterial SSU rRNA". It matches the Rfam family "Bacterial small subunit ribosomal RNA", at positions 361 to 1533 of the family's 1533-position model. The record is from RNAcentral.
AUCUUGCACAAUGGGCGAAAGCCUGAUGCAGCGACGCCGCGUGGGGGAUGAAGGCCUUCGGGUUGUAAACCCCUUUCAGUAGGGACGAAAAUGACGGUACCUACAGAAGAAGCUCCGGCCAACUACGUGCCAGCAGCCGCGGUAACACGUAGGGAGCAAGCGUUGUCCGGAUUUAUUGGGCGUAAAGAGCUCGUAGGUGGUUCGGUAAGUCGGAUGUGAAAACUCAAGGCUCAACCUUGAGACGCCAUCCGAUACUGCUGUGACUUGAGUUCGGUAGAGGAGUGUGGAAUUCCUGGUGCAGCGGUGAAAUGCGCAGAUAUCAGGAGGAACACCGACAGCGAAAGCAGCACUCUGGGCCGAUACUGACACUGAGGAGCGAAAGCAUGGGGAGCAAACAGGAUUAGAUACCCUGGUAGUCCAUGCCGUAAACGUUGGGCACUAGGUGUGGGGAUUAUCAACGAUUCUCGUGCCGUCGUUAACGCAUUAAGUGCCCCGCCUGGGGAGUACGGUCGAGGUGACUAAAACUCGACGGAAUUGCAACGGGACUUGUGUUAUUCAGGCACCGAAACUACCUGGGUUGCAUAGGAAGCUAGAUUGUGCUCGGCUAAAGGGCUGGUUCACUC